GUAGGGAAUAUUGCGCAAUGGGGGAAACCCUGACGCAGCGACGCCGCGUGAGUGAUGAAGGCCUUCGGGUCGUAAAGCUCUGUUGCAGGGGAAUAAAAAAAUGAAGGUACCCUGUGAGGAAGGAUCGGCUAACUUCGUGCCAGCAGCCGUGGUAAGACGAGGGAUCCUAGCGUUGCUCGGAAUCAUUGGGCGUAAAGAGGGCGUAGGUGGCUUGGUAAGUCAGGUGUGAAAGCCCAGGGCUCAACACUGGAAGUUCAUUUGAUACUGCUGAGCUUGAGUGUCGGAGAGGUUACCGGAAUACCUGGUGUAGUGGUGAAAUACGUAGAUAUCAGGUGGAACACCGGAGGCGAAGGCGGGUAACUGGACGAACACUGACACUGAGGCCCGAAAGCGUGGGGAUCAAACAGGAUUAGAUACCCGGGUAGUCC
Molecule: ribosomal RNA, 428 nt
Filed under: uncultured bacterium
Lineage: Bacteria
Description: partial 16S ribosomal RNA
Rfam family: Bacterial small subunit ribosomal RNA
Source: RNAcentral